AUACGGAGGGGGUUAGCGUUGUUCGGAAUUACUGGGCGUAAAGCGCACGUAGGCGGACUGGAAAGUUGGGGGUGAAAUCCCGUGGCUCAACCCCGGAACUGCCUCCAAAACUUCCAAUCUAGAGAUCGAGAGAGGUGAGUGGAAUUCCAAGUGUAGAGGUGAAAUUCGUAGAUAUUUGGAGGAACACCAGUGGCGAAGGCGGCUCACUGGCUCGAUACUGACGCUGAGGUGCGAAAGCGUGGGGAGCAAACAGGAUUAGAAACCCUAGUAGUCC
RNAcentral lists this ribosomal RNA (274 nucleotides) under uncultured bacterium. Its description in RNAcentral is "partial 16S ribosomal RNA". It matches the Rfam family "Bacterial small subunit ribosomal RNA", at positions 523 to 796 of the family's 1533-position model. The record is from RNAcentral.